RNAcentral lists this ribosomal RNA (376 nucleotides) under uncultured bacterium. Its description in RNAcentral is "bacterial SSU rRNA". It matches the Rfam family "Bacterial small subunit ribosomal RNA", at positions 523 to 898 of the family's 1533-position model. The record is from RNAcentral.
AGACGUAGGGGGCGAGCGUUGUCCGGAAUUACUGGGCGUAAAGAGCACGUAGGCGGGAACCUAAGUCAGGUGUGAAAGACCGUGGCUCAACCACGGGGUGGCAUUUGAAACUGGGCUUCUUGAGGGCAGGAGAGGAAAGCAGAAUUCCUGGUGUAGCGGUGAAAUGCGUAGAAAUCAGGAGGAAUACCAGUGGCGAAGGCGGCUUUCUGGACUGUAACUGACGCUGAGGCACGAAAGCGUGGGGAGCAAACAGGAUUAGAUACCCUGGUAGUCCACGCUGUAAACGAUGAGUGUUAGGUGUAGGGGGCUUGAAGCUUUCUGUGCCGCAGUAAACGCAAUAAACACUCCGCCUGGGGAGUACGGUCGCAAGACUAAA